GCUAGGCGUGGUGGCUCACGCCUGUAAUCCCAGCACUUUGGGAGGCUGAGGCGGGUGGAUCACCUGAGGUCAGGAGUUCAAGACCAGCCUGGCCAACAUGGUAAAACCCCGUCUCUA
RNAcentral lists this non-coding RNA (117 nucleotides) under Pan paniscus (pygmy chimpanzee). Lineage: Eukaryota; Metazoa; Chordata; Mammalia; Primates; Hominidae. The record is from Rfam by way of RNAcentral. RNAcentral also lists the same sequence under 1 other name.